This is a long non-coding RNA of Helianthus annuus (common sunflower), 496 nucleotides long. RefSeq lists it as uncharacterized. Lineage: Eukaryota; Viridiplantae; Streptophyta; Magnoliopsida; Asterales; Asteraceae. The transcript has 3 exons. The record is from RefSeq and is a predicted model, not a curated record.
UGUAGACAUAUAGUGAUCAAAUGGAACUCAACAGAAGAAAACAAGUAAAUAUAAGCAGGGGGCUCUCGGUCGAUAGCCAAUCAUGCAUUCAAAAUUAGAAAUCCCGAGACUCAGUUGCCACCUAGCCCAUUAGAAGUUUACUACAAGCUGCACUAUAAUGCCAAGAAAAAAGAAAAAAGGAUGGCUAAAUGAAGAUUCACAUAUUAUAUAUGAUAAUAUUUGUAAACAUAAAGAGGCGGCCAUGCCUAGAUUGAAUACCGAAGGAACCAUCGUUACUACUGCUAUGGAACACGACGUGGAGAGAAAAGCCAUCAAAAGUGUAUGUGGUAGGGCUAAAACAAUACAAUCAGCAUUGGGAAGUAGGUGUUGGUCCUGUGUUAAGGAAAAAAGAUAACUGGAUGAAAUCGGCAGUCGAAUCAUCUCAACGAGAUUCAACUGAGAACGAAGAUUUGAGAAAUGAGGUUACUGAACUCAAGGAGGAAUUGAAACAGAGUAA